This 2923-nucleotide ribosomal RNA is filed under the name Bacillus cereus. RNAcentral's name for it is "23S ribosomal RNA". It matches the Rfam family "Bacterial large subunit ribosomal RNA". Lineage: Bacteria; Bacillati; Bacillota; Bacilli; Caryophanales; Bacillaceae. The record is from RNAcentral.
GGUUAAGUUAGAAAGGGCGCACGGUGGAUGCCUUGACACUAGGAGUCGAUGAAGGACGGGACUAACGCCGAUAUGCUUCGGGGAGCUGUAAGUAAGCUUUGAUCCGAAGAUUUCCGAAUGGGGAAACCCACCAUACGUAAUGGUAUGGUAUCCUUAUCUGAAUACAUAGGGUAAGGAAGACAGACCCAGGGAACUGAAAAACAUCUAAGUACCUGGAGGAAGAGAAAGCAAAUGCGAUUUCCUGAGUAGCGGCGAGCGAAACGGAACAUAGCCCAAACCAAGAGGCUUGCCUCUUGGGGUUGUAGGACAUUCUAUACGGAGUUACAAAGGAACGAGGUAGACGAAGCGACCUGGAAAGGUCCGUCGUAGAGGGUAACAACCCCGUAGUCGAAACUUCGUUCUCUCUUGAAUGUAUCCUGAGUACGGCGGAACACGUGAAAUUCCGUCGGAAUCUGGGAGGACCAUCUCCCAAGGCUAAAUACUCCCUAGUGAUCGAUAGUGAACCAGUACCGUGAGGGAAAGGUGAAAAGCCCCGGAAGGGGAGUGAAAGAGAUCCUGAAACCGUGUGCCUACAAAUAGUCAGAGCCCGUUAACGGGUGAUGGCGUGCCUUUUGUAGAAUGAACCGGCGAGUUACGAUCCCGUGCGAGGUUAAGCUGAAGAGGCGGAGCCGCAGCGAAAGCGAGUCUGAAUAGGGCGUUUAGUACGUGGUCGUAGACCCGAAACCAGGUGAUCUACCCAUGUCCAGGGUGAAGUUCAGGUAACACUGAAUGGAGGCCCGAACCCACGCACGUUGAAAAGUGCGGGGAUGAGGUGUGGGUAGCGGAGAAAUUCCAAUCGAACCUGGAGAUAGCUGGUUCUCCCCGAAAUAGCUUUAGGGCUAGCCUUAAGUGUAAGAGUCUUGGAGGUAGAGCACUGAUUGGACUAGGGGUCCUCAUCGGAUUACCGAAUUCAGUCAAACUCCGAAUGCCAAUGACUUAUCCUUAGGAGUCAGACUGCGAGUGAUAAGAUCCGUAGUCAAAAGGGAAACAGCCCAGACCGCCAGCUAAGGUCCCAAAGUGUGUAUUAAGUGGAAAAGGAUGUGGAGUUGCUUAGACAACUAGGAUGUUGGCUUAGAAGCAGCCACCAUUUAAAGAGUGCGUAAUAGCUCACUAGUCGAGUGACUCUGCGCCGAAAAUGUACCGGGGCUAAAUACACCACCGAAGCUGCGGAUUGAUACCGAAUGGUAUCAGUGGUAGGGGAGCGUUCUAAGGACAGUGAAGUCAGACCGUAAGGACUGGUGGAGUGCUUAGAAGUGAGAAUGCCGGUAUGAGUAGCGAAAGACGGGUGAGAAUCCCGUCCACCGAAUGCCUAAGGUUUCCUGAGGAAGGCUCGUCCGCUCAGGGUUAGUCAGGACCUAAGCCGAGGCCGACAGGCGUAGGCGAUGGACAACAGGUUGAUAUUCCUGUACCACCUCUUUAUCGUUUGAGCAAUGGAGGGACGCAGAAGGAUAGAAGAAGCGUGCGAUUGGUUGUGCACGUCCAAGCAGUUAGGCUGAUAAGUAGGCAAAUCCGCUUAUCGUGAAGGCUGAGCUGUGAUGGGGAAGCUCCUUAUGGAGCGAAGUCUUUGAUUCCCCGCUGCCAAGAAAAGCUUCUAGCGAGAUAAAAGGUGCCUGUACCGCAAACCGACACAGGUAGGCGAGGAGAGAAUCCUAAGGUGUGCGAGAGAACUCUGGUUAAGGAACUCGGCAAAAUGACCCCGUAACUUCGGGAGAAGGGGUGCUUUCUUAACGGAAAGCCGCAGUGAAUAGGCCCAAGCGACUGUUUAGCAAAAACACAGCUCUCUGCGAAGCCGUAAGGCGAAGUAUAGGGGGUGACACCUGCCCGGUGCUGGAAGGUUAAGGAGAGGGGUUAGCGUAAGCGAAGCUCUGAACUGAAGCCCCAGUAAACGGCGGCCGUAACUAUAACGGUCCUAAGGUAGCGAAAUUCCUUGUCGGGUAAGUUCCGACCCGCACGAAAGGUGUAACGAUUUGGGCACUGUCUCAACCAGAGACUCGGUGAAAUUAUAGUACCUGUGAAGAUGCAGGUUACCCGCGACAGGACGGAAAGACCCCGUGGAGCUUUACUGUAGCCUGAUAUUGAAUUUUGGUACAGUUUGUACAGGAUAGGCGGGAGCCAUUGAAACCGGAGCGCUAGCUUCGGUGGAGGCGCUGGUGGGAUACCGCCCUGACUGUAUUGAAAUUCUAACCUACGGGUCUUAUCGACCCGGGAGACAGUGUCAGGUGGGCAGUUUGACUGGGGCGGUCGCCUCCUAAAGUGUAACGGAGGCGCCCAAAGGUUCCCUCAGAAUGGUUGGAAAUCAUUCGUAGAGUGCAAAGGCAUAAGGGAGCUUGACUGCGAGACCUACAAGUCGAGCAGGGACGAAAGUCGGGCUUAGUGAUCCGGUGGUUCCGCAUGGAAGGGCCAUCGCUCAACGGAUAAAAGCUACCCCGGGGAUAACAGGCUUAUCUCCCCCAAGAGUCCACAUCGACGGGGAGGUUUGGCACCUCGAUGUCGGCUCAUCGCAUCCUGGGGCUGUAGUCGGUCCCAAGGGUUGGGCUGUUCGCCCAUUAAAGCGGUACGCGAGCUGGGUUCAGAACGUCGUGAGACAGUUCGGUCCCUAUCCGUCGUGGGCGUAGGAAAUUUGAGAGGAGCUGUCCUUAGUACGAGAGGACCGGGAUGGACGCGCCGCUGGUGUACCAGUUGUUCUGCCAAGGGCAUAGCUGGGUAGCUAUGUGCGGAAGGGAUAAGUGCUGAAAGCAUCUAAGCAUGAAGCCCCCCUCAAGAUGAGAUUUCCCAUAGCGUAAGCUAGUAAGAUCCCUGAAAGAUGAUCAGGUUGAUAGGUUCGAGGUGGAAGCAUGGUGACAUGUGGAGCUGACGAAUACUAAUAGAUCGAGGACUUAACCAU